Molecule: ribosomal RNA, 829 nt
Filed under: Haloferax sp. VKMM015
Lineage: Archaea; Methanobacteriati; Methanobacteriota; Halobacteria; Halobacteriales; Haloferacaceae
Description: bacterial SSU rRNA
Rfam family: Archaeal small subunit ribosomal RNA
Source: RNAcentral
UCAUUGCUAUUGGGGUCCGAUUUAGCCAUGCUAGUUGCACGAGUUCAUACUCGUGGCGAAAAGCUCAGUAACACGUGGCCAAACUACCCUACAGAGAACGAUAACCUCGGGAAACUGAGGCUAAUAGUUCAUACGGGAGUCAUGCUGGAAUGCCGACUCCCCGAAACGCUCAGGCGCUGUAGGAUGUGGCUGCGGCCGAUUAGGUAGACGGUGGGGUAACGGCCCACCGUGCCGAUAAUCGGUACGGGUUGUGAGAGCAAGAGCCCGGAGACGGAAUCUGAGACAAGAUUCCGGGCCCUACGGGGCGCAGCAGGCGCGAAACCUUUACACUGCACGCAAGUGCGAUAAGGGGACCCCAAGUGCGAGGGCAUAUAGUCCUCGCUUUUCACGACUGUAAGGCGGUCGUGGAAUAAGAGCUGGGCAAGACCGGUGCCAGCCGCCGCGGUAAUACCGGCAGCUCAAGUGAUGACCGAUAUUAUUGGGCCUAAAGCGUCCGUAGCCGGCCACGAAGGUUCAUCGGGAAAUCCGCCAGCUCAACUGGCGGGCGUCCGGUGAAAACCACGUGGCUUGGGACCGGAAGGCUCGAGGGGUACGUCCGGGGUAGGAGUGAAAUCCCGUAAUCCUGGACGGACCACCGAUGGCGAAAGCACCUCGAGAAGACGGAUCCGACGGUGAGGGACGAAAGCUAGGGUCUCGAACCGGAUUAGAUACCCGGGUAGUCCUAGCUGUAAACGAUGCUCGCUAGGUGUGACACAGGCUACGAGCCUGUGUUGUGCCGUAGGGAAGCCGAGAAGCGAGCCGCCUGGGAAGUACGUCCGCAAGGAUGAAA